Molecule: ribosomal RNA, 758 nt
Filed under: uncultured bacterium
Lineage: Bacteria
Description: bacterial SSU rRNA
Rfam family: Bacterial small subunit ribosomal RNA
Source: RNAcentral
GAUGAACGCUAGCGGCAGGCCUAACACAUGCAAGUCGAGGGGCAUCGGGAGAGAGCUUGCUUUCUUGCCGGCGACCGGCGCACGGGUGAGCAACGCGUAUGGAACCUACCUUCUACAGGGGAAUAGCCCAGGGAAACUUGGAUUAAUGCCCCAUGGACCUAGACGGCCGAAUGGCCUGUCAUGGUAAAGCUUCGGCGGUAGGGGAUGGCCAUGCGUCCCAUUAGCUAGUUGGUAAGGUAACGGCUUACCAAGGCGACGAUGGGUAGGGGCCCUGAGAGGGGGAUCCCCCACACUGGUACUGAGACACGGACCAGACUCCUACGGGAGGCAGCAGUGAGGAAUAUUGGACAAUGGGCGAGUGCCUGAUCCAGCCAUGCCGCGUGCAGGAAGACCGCCCUAUGGGUCGUAAACUGCUUUUGUACGGGAAGAACAGGGGAUACGCGUAUCCCUCUGACGGUACCGUAAGAAUAAGGAUCGGCUAACUCCGUGCCAGCAGCCGCGGUAAUACGGAGGAUCCGAGCGUUAUCCGGAAUCAUUGGGUUUAAAGGGUCCGUAGGCGGGCCGUUAAGUCAGGGGUGAAAGUCUGCGGCUCGACCGUAGAAAUGCCCUUGAUACUGGCGGUCUUGAGUUAUGGUGAAGUGGCCAGAAUAUGUGGUGUAGCGGUGAAAUGCAUAGAUAUCACAUGGAAUACCGAUUGCGAAGGCAGGCCGCUAACCAUAUACUGACGCUGAUGGACGAAAGCGUGGGGAGCGAACGGG